This is a non-coding RNA of Gossypium raimondii (Peruvian cotton), 107 nucleotides long. NCBI's taxonomy places the organism in Eukaryota, Viridiplantae, Streptophyta, Magnoliopsida, Malvales, Malvaceae. The record is from Rfam.
AACCCAUGGUGAGGGCAGCUUCUCAAUAAGUCCUUAUACCUCUCCCAUGCAUCAUAUAAGAUCUCUUAGUCGAUCUAAAUGAAGGAAGAGAUAUCAUUCCUCAACUU